RNAcentral lists this long non-coding RNA (2181 nucleotides) under Homo sapiens (human). RNAcentral describes it as "HSALNT0054897". The record is from RNAcentral. Lineage: Eukaryota; Metazoa; Chordata; Mammalia; Primates; Hominidae.
CACCAGACUACUGUAUUCCUUCCAAAGGGAAUGCACAUAUUGAAUAGAUUACUAAGGAGGAUCCUCGAAGUUGGCAGAGUCAAUUCAUUCAAGAGAUAGCAGCAGAGGACUGGAGAAGAUGAUGGCCAGAGCAGAAAGGGAAACCAGCGCAAAAACUAAUAAGGGGAAAGAAAAAGACUCACAGCAUCACUAGAAAAGGAGGAAAACUUCUUUUCCAGGAGAGAGCAACAAAAAUUCCAACAUAAGGUAACCAGAAGGAAAUUGCUCUGUCAAACAACAAGAGUGAAAUCUGGUCCAGCAUCCUGGUCUUCUCCAGGAAUGUCCAGGAGCUCAACUAUGUCAUCAAGAAUAAGAUUGUUUUCUGCUCUCUGUUUUACACAGGACUAGGCUCAAAUCCAAAAUGAUUCCCCUCAAGGUCAUAAGCACAGAGCUCAAGUCUUAGAAAACAAGGGGCAAUUUUCUGAACUGACUUGAUGUUUUCUUGUGUGUGACCUGACAAAUGUGAGUGCCUUACUUGAUGAUCUGAGGGAACAGGCCCCUUAUCUUCACAGACAGAGCAAUCACUCAAUUCUAGAAGGAAGCCAGGGAAAGAAGGAAGACAACAAUCCAUUGAGCCUUGGUUUCCUCAUCUGUAAAGUAGAAUACUACUAUCUAUACUGCACAGGAACAGGAGCCGACUUGAACAAGCUUAAGCAAAAUAGAAGAUUUACUGACAGGAUAUUGAAAGAGUUCUGGAACUCAUCAUCAAUGUGUUACAUAAGAACCUGGAACCAUAAACUAGAUCGCCACUGGAAACCCAAGUGAAUUGUGAAUUGUUUUCUCCAUCUCUAAUUUUCAUUUUUUUCCCCUGGAGAUCACCUUCAUCAUUCUCUCUGUCCCAAUUUUGUUCUGUCUUUCCCACGUGUACAUUUUGGAAAAAGAUCACCCAACAAAUAGUUGUCUUCUCUUCCGUGAAGGAAAAUAGCUCAGACUAACUGGCUGUUUGUAAACUCCAGUGCCCUAAUCCUGGAAGGCAGAAUUUGAUUGCUUCACUUUGGGUUGGGUCUCUGCCUGCCCAUCAAUCAACUCUGGUCAGGGUACGGGGUCCCACAGCACACACAUGGCUGCCACAGUUAACCCACGUCUUAGAGAAGUAGUGUUGUUUUGGGGUUGAGCAGACACUCUAAUUAGUGAUCACUGCUUUCACACACAAACUCAUUAAGGUAAUCCCCCUCAGGGUCAUCUGGGGGUGCGCAUGCCCUUGAAUGUGGGCAAGACCUGUAAUUUUUUUUUCUUUUUUGAGAUGGAGUCUUGCUCUAUUGCCCAGGCUGGAGUGCAGUGGCACAAUCUCAGUUCACUGCAACCUCUGCCUCCCUGGUUCAAGCAAUUCCCCUGCCUCAGCCUCCCAAGUAGCUGGGAUUACAGGUGCGUGCCACCACACCCGGAUAUUUUUUUUUUUGUAUUUUUAGUAUAGAUGGGGUUUUACCAUGUUGGCCAGACUGGUCUCGAACUCCUGACCUCAGGCAAUCUGCCCGCCUUGGCCUCCCAAAGUGCUGGGAUUACAGGCAUGAGCCACCGUGCCCAGCUCUGUGAUUUUCUUUUAAUCAAAAGAGCAUGAAAAAGGGGACAAAAUGUAUGUGAUUACAUGUGUAUGAUUAUAUAAUAUAAGAUUGUAGCACCAGUCUUGCUGGGGUCUCUCCCCAACUUGCUUGCUUUGAUGUGCCAUGUGAUCAUGUUGGAAGACCCAUGUCAAGGAACUGAGGGUGGCCUCUGGUCAACAGCCAUAAAAAAUGGAAGUUCUCAGUUCUACAGCUUCAAGAAACUAAAUUCUCUCAACAACCUCAAUUAGUUAGAAAACAGAUUCUUCCCCAGUCAAGACUCAGAUGAGACCGUAGCCCCGGUCAACUCCUUGAAUGCAGUUUUAUGAGACUCUAGGCAGAGGACCCAGCUAAGUAGUUUCUGGACUUCUGACUUACAGAAAUUGUGAGAAAAUAAAUGUGUGCUGCUUUGAGUGGCUAAGUUUGUGGUAAUACUGUUACACAGCAAUAGAAAACUAAUAAAAUUCCACAAUACUUUUCAACUAAAAAUACUCUGAGAAGAUUCACAGGUUCUCAAUAAAACCUGUAUGGCAACUUCUGAAUCAAGGUCACACUGCUCUUGGUAGUCAAAGGAAAGUAUGGUAGCUAUACCCAACAGUAAGUU